This 1997-nucleotide long non-coding RNA is filed under the name Equus caballus (horse). RNAcentral describes it as "lncRNA (ENSECAG00000059887.1)". The record is from RNAcentral. Lineage: Eukaryota; Metazoa; Chordata; Mammalia; Perissodactyla; Equidae.
GUGCUUCCAGCAUCUCUGGCACGAGGUUCUGGCACGUCUAGAGAUGGUUCCGGCAUGCCCGGCAGGUGAUUACGGAGUGUCCGACAAGUGGUUCUGGUGCAGCCAGCAGGUGAUUUUGGCUGUCCGGUAGGUGGGUCCUGCGAGUCGAGCAGGUGGUUCCGGCGUGCUUGGCAGGUGGUUCCAGCGUGUCUGGCAGGUGGUUCCAGAAUGUCCAGGACGUGGUUCUGGAAUGCCCGGCAGGUGAUUCCGGACUGUCCUCCAUGUGGUUCUGGCAUAGCUGGCAGGUGAUCUUGGCGUGUCUGGCAGGUGGUUCUGGCGAGUCAAGCAGGUGGUUCCGGCGUACUCAGCAGGUGGUUCAGGCAGGUCCGGCAGGUGGCUGUGGCGAGGCGAGCAGGUGGGUCCAGCGUGCUCAGCAGGUGAAUCCAGCGUGUUCAGCAGGUGGUUCCGGUCAGUCCGGGAUAUGGUUCCGGCGUAUCCGGCACGUGGUCCUGGCACGUCUGAGAGGUGUUUCCGGCAUGCCUGGCAGGUGAUUCCGGAGUGUCCGCCAAGUGGUUCUGGCAUAGCCGGCAGGUGAUUUUGGUGGGUCUGGCAAGUGGUUCUGGCAGGUUGAGCAGUUGGUUCAGGCGUGCUCGGCAAGUGGUUCAGGCGUGUCCGGCAGGUCGUUUCAGUCUGUCCAUUAGGUGGUUCCGGCAUGUCCUGCAUGUGGUUCUGGCACGUCUGAUAUGUGGUUCCAGCAUGCCCGGAAGGUGAUUCAGGAGUGUCAGCCAUGUGGUUCUGGCCUAGCCGGCAGGUGAUUUUGGCAUAUACGGCAGGUGGUUCCGGUGAUUCGAGCAUAUGGUUCCGGCGUGCUCGGCACGUGAUUCAGGCGUGCCCGGCAGGUGGUUCCAAUCACUCUGGGAGGUGGUUCCAGCGUGUCCGGCACGUGUUUCCGGCACGCAUGAGAGGUGGUUCUUUCAUGCCCGACAGGUGAUUCCAGAGAGUCCGGCAAGUGGUUCUGGCGUAGCCGGCUGGUGAUUUUGGCAUGUCCGGCAGGUGGUUCCGGGGAGUCGAGUGGUUGUUCCAGCAUGCUCGGCAAGUGGAUCCAGCGGGUCCAGCAGGUGGUUCUGGUCUGUCCGGAAGGUGGUUCCGGCAUGUUGGACACAUGGUUCUGGCACGUCUGAGAGGUGGUUCCGGCAUGCCCAGCAGGUGAUUCCGGAGUGUCCGAAAAGUGGUUCUGGUGCAGCCGGCAGGUGAUUUUGGCAUGUCCGGUAGGGGGUCCUGCGAGUCGAAUAGGUGGUUCCGGCGUGCUCGGCAGGUGGUUCCGGCGUGUCUGGCAGGUGGUUCUGGCAUAGCCGGCAGGUGAUUUUUGCGUGUCCGGCUGGUGGUUCUGUGGAGUGGAUCAUGUGGUUCCGGCAUGCUCAGCAGGUGCUACCGGCGUCUCCGGUAUGUGGUUCUGGGACAUUUUAGAGGUGGUUCCAUCAUGCCUGGCAGGUGAUUCCGGAGUGUCUGACAAGUGGUCCUGGCGUAGCCUGCUGGUGAUUUUGGGGUGUCCAGCAGGUGGUUCCUGUGAGUCGAGCAGGUGGUUCCUGCGUGCCGGCAGGUGGUUCCAGCAGGUCCGGCAGGUGGUUUCCGUCUGUCUGGGAUUUGGUUUCGACGUCUCAGGCACAUGGUUCCGGCACGUCUGAGAGGUGGUUCCGGCAUGCCCGGCAGGUGAUCGCGGAGAGUCCGACAUGUGGUUCUGGCGUAGCCUGCUGGUGAUUUUGGUGUGUCCGGUAGGUCGUUCUUGCGAGUUGAGCAGGUGGUUCCGGCAUGCUCGGCAGGUGAUUCCGGGGUGUCCGGCAUGUGGUUCUGGUCUUUCCGGGAGGUGGUUCCGGCAUGUGCGGCACGUGGUUCUGGCAUGUCUGAGAGGUGGUUCCGGCAUGCCCGGCAGGUGAUUCCGGAGUGUCCGCCACGUGGUUCUGGCAUAGCCGGCAGGUGAUUUUGUCGUGUCCGGCAGCUGGUUCUGGUGAGUCGAGCAG